UACGUAGGGUGCGAGCGUUGUCCGGAAUUAUUGGGCGUAAAGAGCUCGUAGGCGGUCUGUCGCGUCUGCUGUGAAAUCCCGAGGCUCAACCUCGGGCUUGCAGUGGGUACGGGCAGGCUAGAGUGCGGUAGGGGAGAAUGGAACUCCUGGUGUAGCGGUGGAAUGCGCAGAUAUCAGGAGGAACACCGAUGGCGAAGGCAGGUCUCUGGGCCGCAACUGACGCUGAGGAGCGAAAGCAUGGGGAGCGAACAGG
Molecule: ribosomal RNA, 253 nt
Filed under: uncultured bacterium
Lineage: Bacteria
Description: partial 16S ribosomal RNA
Rfam family: Bacterial small subunit ribosomal RNA
Source: RNAcentral